This 86-nucleotide transfer RNA is filed under the name Alphaproteobacteria bacterium. RNAcentral describes it as "tRNA-Leu". It matches the Rfam family "tRNA". Rfam says of the family: Transfer RNA (tRNA) molecules are approximately 80 nucleotides in length. Their secondary structure includes four short double-helical elements and three loops (D, anti-codon, and T loops). RNAcentral also lists the same sequence under 1 other name. Lineage: Bacteria; Pseudomonadati; Pseudomonadota; Alphaproteobacteria. The record is from RNAcentral.
GCGGUCGUGGCGGAAUGGUAGACGCGCAGCGUUGAGGUCGCUGUGGGAGAGAUCCUGUGGAAGUUCGAGUCUUCUCGACCGCACCA